CAAGCGAGGCCAGACGAGGCGACGGCCUGGUGUUCAUUGUUCCUGCUGGUUAUUCGCAUGGCCUAAUUGUGUGAGGAAAACAGAAUGAAGGAAAAUGGAUGGGAAGCAACACCGCUCGCGGUCGAGUUCUUAGAAAAGCAGAAGUUCGUCGUCCCUCCUCGCACGCACAGCGAGUGCUGGGAAGUGGCCUGCACCCUACCCUGAUUUGGGGGC
Molecule: long non-coding RNA, 213 nt
Filed under: Homo sapiens (human)
Lineage: Eukaryota; Metazoa; Chordata; Mammalia; Primates; Hominidae
Description: HSALNT0043199
Source: RNAcentral